Molecule: transfer RNA, 75 nt
Filed under: Helicobacter jaachi
Lineage: Bacteria; Pseudomonadati; Campylobacterota; Epsilonproteobacteria; Campylobacterales; Helicobacteraceae
Description: tRNA-Glu
Rfam family: tRNA
About the family: Transfer RNA (tRNA) molecules are approximately 80 nucleotides in length. Their secondary structure includes four short double-helical elements and three loops (D, anti-codon, and T loops).
Source: RNAcentral
GGCCCCUUCAUCUAGCGGUUAGGAUACCACCCUUUCACGGUGGCUACAGGGGUUCAAAUCCCCUAGGGGUCACCA